This 810-nucleotide ribosomal RNA is filed under the name fungal sp. BG13. Its description in RNAcentral is "eukaryotic LSU rRNA". It matches the Rfam family "Eukaryotic large subunit ribosomal RNA", at positions 87 to 929 of the family's 3401-position model. Lineage: Eukaryota; Fungi. The record is from RNAcentral.
CGGCGAGUGAAGCGGCAACAGCUCAAAUUUGAAAUCUGGCCCUAGCGGUCCGAAUUGUAAUUUGUAGAGGAUGCUUUUGGUGCGGUGCCUUCCGAGUUCCCUGGAACGGGACGCCAGAGAGGGUGAGAGCCCCGUACGGUUGGACACCUACCCUAUAUAUAGCUCCUUCGACGAGUCGAGUAGUUUGGGAAUGCUGCUCUAAAUGGGAGGUAAAUUUCUUCUAAAGCUAAAUACCGGCCAGAGACCGAUAGCGCACAAGUAGAGUGAUCGAAAGAUGAAAAGCACUUUGAAAAGAGGGUUAAAUAGCACGUGAAAUUGUUGAAAGGGAAGCGUUUACGACCAGACCUCUUCCAGGCGGAUCAUCCGGUGUUCUCACCGGUGCACUUCGUCUGGUUUAGGCCAGCAUCGGUUUUCGUAGGGGGAUAAAGACCUGGGGAACGUAUCUCCUUCGGGAGUGUUAUAGCCCCUCGUGUAAUACCUCUACGGGGACCGAGGACCGCGCAAGGAUGCUGGCGUAAUGGUCGUCAACGACCCGUCUUGAAACACGGACCAAGGAGUCGAACAUUUGUGCGAGUGUUUGGGUAUUAAACCCUCACGCGUAAUGAAAGUGAACGGAGGUGAGAGCCCUUCGGGGUGCAUCAUCGACCGAUCCUGAUGUCUUCGGAUGGAUUUGAGUAAGAGCAUAACUGUUCGGACCCGAAAGAUGGUGAACUAUGCGUGGAUAGGGUGAAGCCAGAGGAAACUCUGGUGGAGGCUCGCAGCGGUUCUGACGUGCAAAUCGAUCGUCAAAUCUGCGCAUGGGGGCGAAAG